This 253-nucleotide ribosomal RNA is filed under the name uncultured bacterium. RNAcentral describes it as "partial 16S ribosomal RNA". It matches the Rfam family "Bacterial small subunit ribosomal RNA", at positions 524 to 776 of the family's 1533-position model. The record is from RNAcentral.
UACGGGGGGGGCUAGCGUUGUUCGGAAUUACUGGGCGUAAAGCGUACGUAGGCGGCUUUGUAAGUUAGAGGUGAAAGCCCGGGGCUCAACUCCGGAAUUGCCUUUAAGACUGCAUCGCUUGAAUCAUGGAGAGGUGAGUGGAAUUCCGAGUGUAGAGGUGAAAUUCGUAGAUAUUCGGAAGAACACCAGUGGCGAAGGCGACUAACUGGACAUGUAUUGACGCUGAGGUGCGAAAGCGUGGGGAGCAAACAGG